This 191-nucleotide unclassified non-coding RNA is filed under the name uncultured fungus. Its description in RNAcentral is "sequence contains ITS1, 5.8S rRNA gene". Lineage: Eukaryota; Fungi. The record is from RNAcentral.
AAGAGUUAGGGUCUUCUAGGCCCGACCUCCCAACCCUUUGUUUACUUAACCAUCGUUGCUUCGGCGAGCCCGUCUUUACUGACCGCCGGGAGACUCUAAACCGUCUUCUGGUCCGCGCUCGUCGGUGGCCAACACUUUAAAUUCUUUAACUAAACGUGUCUAUAUCUGAGUACUAUAUUUUAAUAAAAACA